UAACGACUCUCGGCAACGGAUAUCUCGGCUCACGCAUCGAUGAAGAACGUAGCAAAAUGCGAUACUUGGUGUGAAUUGCAGAAUCCCGUGAACCAUCGAGUUUUUGAACGCAAGUUGCGCCCGAAGCCAUCCGGUCGAGGGCACGCCUGCCUGGGCGUCACGC
Molecule: ribosomal RNA, 163 nt
Filed under: Sonchus megalocarpus
Lineage: Eukaryota; Viridiplantae; Streptophyta; Magnoliopsida; Asterales; Asteraceae
Description: 5.8S ribosomal RNA
Rfam family: 5.8S ribosomal RNA
About the family: 5.8S ribosomal RNA (5.8S rRNA) is a component of the large subunit of the eukaryotic ribosome. It is transcribed by RNA polymerase I as part of the 45S precursor that also contains 18S and 28S rRNA. Functionally, it is thought that 5.8S rRNA may be involved in ribosome translocation.
Source: RNAcentral